AGCGGAGGAAAAGAAACUAACAAGGAUUCCCCUAGUAACGGCGAGUGAAGAGGGAAGAGCCCAAGAUUGAAAGCUGGCGUCUUCGGCGUCCGCAUUGUAAUCUCAAGAAGUGUUUUCCGCUUCGGACCAUGCCUAAGUCCCUUGGAAAAGGGCAUCAUAGAGGGUGAUAAUCCCGUACAUGGCUAGGAGCGCCCGAAGCUUUGUGAUACGCUUUCUAAGAGUCGAGUUGUUUGGGAAUGCAGCUCAAAAUGGGUGGUAAAUGCCAUCUAAGGCUAAAUAUUGGGGAGAGACCGAUAGCGAACAAGUACAGUGAUGGAAAGAUGAAAAGAACUUUGAAAAGAGAGUUAAACAGUACGUGAAAUUGCCAAAAGGGAAGGGUAGGAGGUCAGAGAUGCUUUCUGGGAUUCAGCCUUGCUUUUGCUUGGUGUUUUUCUCAAAUUGCAGGCCAACGUCGGUUUUGGGCGCUGGAGAAGGGUGGAAGGAACGUGGCACCCCUCGGGGUGUGUUAUAGCCUUCUACUGGAUACGGUGACCGAGACCGAGGACAGCAGCGUACUCGCAAGAGCGGGCCUUCGGGCACCUUUACGCUUAGGGCGUUGGCAUAAUGGCCCUCUACCACCCG
Molecule: ribosomal RNA, 621 nt
Filed under: Ustilago striiformis
Lineage: Eukaryota; Fungi; Basidiomycota; Ustilaginomycetes; Ustilaginales; Ustilaginaceae
Description: LSU rRNA
Rfam family: Eukaryotic large subunit ribosomal RNA
Source: RNAcentral